AUAAAAGCAAUUUCAUGUUCGACUCUGAAACCCCUUGUUCACUUUAUGAAUAACUCCUGAAGAAAAGGGAGGGAGGACAAUAUGAGCUACUGAAAAGCCUUUAAACCAUCCUGAGCCAAAUAAUCUGAGGGGUGCAUAUAUGAAUCCUUUCCCUCAGGUGGCAUGGGUGGACCCUGGUCUGGUGACAUUUCUGCCACGUGUCCCAAACCCACCUUGCUUUUAUUAAAAGCCCACCUCUCACAAGUCAGGCCCUUGGAUGCCUCCUGCUCAGGGUCCCUUGGUGUUGGAGCAGGCCCAGCAGCCUGGCUGGGUGCCACAACCAAGCUGUGCCUCUCACCUUAACCUGCACAGGAGCACUCCAGGAAGGGCACUGAGAGG
Molecule: long non-coding RNA, 378 nt
Filed under: Parus major (Great Tit)
Lineage: Eukaryota; Metazoa; Chordata; Aves; Passeriformes; Paridae
Description: lncRNA (ENSPMJG00000006612.1)
Source: RNAcentral